CUGCAAGUGCUGUUGUUAACAGUAGCUACUUUUCCAAAGGAGCUCUUUGGAUGUCUGGUGCUUUAAGUAAAGCGGCUAAAGCUGCAGCUGAUUUGGGUAGCCGAGGCAUUAACAAAUGAGUAGAUUCAGAGCAACUGCCUUGCAGCUUAGAUUCUUCUAUAUGAGAAUGGUGUUAGUUGAUGUAGUUUUCUAGAGUAUAUACUUUUAUACCUGCCGCAUGCAGUAUCCCUUUCAUUGGCACUGGUAUUAGUCCUUAGGUUGUGUGGAUCUAGAGUUGUGAGUUGAAUGGAUUGGGAUGAUAUUGAUUCAACUGAAAUCAGACUGGUGUUUCCUUUCCACUUUUAUUGGGAUAAUAGGUCGAUGUUGUAAAGGACAUACGGAACAAUACUACGUGUUUAAGUAGAAAUUUUCUUCAGGUUACUGAUUUUUUUUACUGGUCUUGCAACAUGCACUUGUUCUAAAAUUCUUUGUAAAGAUGACUGGUUAGAAGCUGCUCUCAAGAUACAAAUUUUAAGAUUAGAUUUAAGGAAGCUGCUUGCGACAACUGAUGAACAAUCUUUUAUCCCUCUAUGUACACAGGACUCGGUUGCUGGCUAUGAUGUACAUAAGUAUUUGAUAAGUGUCUGUGAAAUUUUAUUUAUUGCCAAGUUUUAGCGUAUUAAUAAGAAUUUGCAUGGAGCACUCAGUACAAAAUCAUAUCUUACAUGGGUACAUCUAUGAAUGAGGUGUGCGUUUCUAAUGAGUGGAUUUAUAAUUCCAGCAGGACCCCCUGGGACAGCAUUUUGUUUCUUCUGCUGGGGAAGCUGUGACGAUGACUCAAAAUGUGGUUAAAACCAUGCUAUCUAAAGGGUAUAUUCUUGGAAAAGGUGCAUUGGGGAAAGCCAAAGCUUUUGACGAAUCUCAUGCGCUGUCAGCAACUGCAGUCUCCAAGGUUGCUGAUUUGAGUGAGAGAAUCGGCCUCACCGACAAGUUUUGUGCCGGGGUUGAAGUGGCCAGAUCUGUGGAUCAGAGGUAUCACAUAUCGGAUACCACCAGAUCAGCUGUGUCAGCUACAGGUAGAACUGGUGUCUCUGCUGCAAGUGCUGUUGUUAACAGUAGCUACUUUUCCAAAGGAGCUCUUUGGAUGUCUGGUGCUUUAAGUAAAGCGGCUAAAGCUGCAGCUGAUUUGGGUAGCCGAGGCAUUAACAAAUGAGUAGAUUCAGAGCAACUGCCUUGCAGCUUAGAUUCUUCUAUAUGAGAAUGGUGUUAGUUGAUGUAGUUUUCUAGAGUAUAUACUUUUAUACCUGCCGCAUGCAGUAUCCCUUUCAUUGGCACUGGUAUUAGUCCUUAGGUUGUGUGGAUCUAGAGUUGUGAGUUGAAUGGAUUGGGAUGAUAUUGAUUCAACUGAAAUCAGACUGGUGUUUCCUUUCCACUUUUGUUGG
RNAcentral lists this long non-coding RNA (1421 nucleotides) under Nicotiana benthamiana. RNAcentral describes it as "long non-coding RNA (NBEN_LNC010346)". The record is from RNAcentral. Lineage: Eukaryota; Viridiplantae; Streptophyta; Magnoliopsida; Solanales; Solanaceae.